This 363-nucleotide transfer RNA is filed under the name uncultured Microcystis sp. RNAcentral's name for it is "partial 16S-23S ribosomal RNA intergenic spacer". The stretch from base 135 to 208 matches the Rfam family "tRNA". The record is from RNAcentral. Lineage: Bacteria; Bacillati; Cyanobacteriota; Cyanophyceae; Chroococcales; Microcystaceae.
AAGGGAGACCUAAUUCAGGUAGGAGACGAAAAAAAAGUAGUCGCUACCAAGAAUCAAUCCCAAAAGGUCGGAGCGAGGCGAAAUUGGCUUUCAAACUAGGUUCUGGGUUCACACAAGACCUGGAUCAGGAACAAGGGCUAUUAGCUCAGGUGGUUAGAGCGCACCCCUGAUAAGGGUGAGGUCCCUGGUUCGAGUCCAGGAUGGCCCACCUGUACAGGUGGCAAAAAGAAAGAAAAGAAGCGAGGAAUCAGCACCUUAUCUUACUGACAUAGUAAGAGAGAAUGCUGGCUCUGAGUAAAGAGUCCAGAGGAACCUUGAAAACUGCAUAGAGCUAGGUGAAAAAGCCAAAAAAGAAGACCGCAA